GAUGAAAGUGAGGAUGUUAAGACAACCUUGUCACAAGCGGAUUCAAAUGUGUUUGAUGAAGAUGAUGUGCUGGAUAUCUCAUAAGCAUCAAGAACGCUCUCUUGAAUAGUUUGUUUUAUAUUUUGACUUUUAGUGAAUGAAAUAUAGUCCUUUUUUUUUUUACCUUUUUAGUAUUUAUUGUGAUAUAUUUGGAACAAUAUAAACAGUUAUUAAGUUUUGCGAA
Molecule: long non-coding RNA, 223 nt
Filed under: Nicotiana benthamiana
Lineage: Eukaryota; Viridiplantae; Streptophyta; Magnoliopsida; Solanales; Solanaceae
Description: long non-coding RNA (NBEN_LNC004991)
Source: RNAcentral